Molecule: unclassified non-coding RNA, 318 nt
Filed under: Coprinopsis foetidella
Lineage: Eukaryota; Fungi; Basidiomycota; Agaricomycetes; Agaricales; Psathyrellaceae
Description: Coprinus foetidellus partial internal transcribed spacer region
Rfam family: Eukaryotic small subunit ribosomal RNA (bases 1-46)
Source: RNAcentral
AAGUCGUAACAAGGUUUCCGUAGGUGAACCUGCGGAAGGAUCAUUAUUGAAUAAAUCUGAUGUGGUUGUAGCUGGCUCUCCGGAGCAUGUGCACGCCCGUCACCUUUAUCUCUCCACCUGUGCACACACUGUAGUCCUGGAUACCUCUCGCCGCAAGGCGGAUGCGAGGCUUGCUGUGUCUUUGCAAGAAGACCGGCUCGCUUCGAAUUUCCAGGUCUACGAUACUUAUACACCCCAAACUGAAUGUUACAGAAUGUUAUCACUGGGCCUUGUGCCUAUAAACCUAUACAACUUUCAGCAACGGAUCUCUUGGCUCUC